AACGAACGCUGGUGGCGUGCCUAACACAUGCAAGUCGUGCGAGAAAGUUCCUUCGGGAGCGAGUAAAGCGGCGCACGGGUGAGUAACACGUAGGUAACCUGCCCCCCAGUCUGGAACAACUAGAGGAAACUCUAGCUAAUGCCGGAUGAGACCACGAUCCCUUCGGGGGUUGCGGCCAAAGAUGGCCUCUACUUGUAAGCUAUCGCUGAGGGAUGGGCCUGCGGGCCAUUAGCUUGUUGGUGAGGUAACGGCUCACCAAGGCUGUGAUGGCUAGCUGGUCUGAGAGGAUGACCAGCCACACUGGGACUGAGACACGGCCCAGACUCCUACGGGAGGCAGUAGUGGGGAAUAUUGCGCAAUGGGCGAAAGCCUGACGCAGCGACGCCGCGUGGGUGAUGAAGGCCU
Molecule: ribosomal RNA, 405 nt
Filed under: uncultured bacterium
Lineage: Bacteria
Description: bacterial SSU rRNA
Rfam family: Bacterial small subunit ribosomal RNA
Source: RNAcentral